UGCCAGCAGCCGCGGUAAUACGGAGGGGGUUAGCGUUGUUCGGAAUUACUGGGCGUAAAGCGCACGUAGGCGGAUUAGUAAGUUAGGGGUGAAAUCCCGGGGCUCAACCCCGGAACUGCCUCUAAUACUGCUAGUCUUGAGUUCAAGAGAGGUAGGCGGAACUUCCAGUGUAGAGGUGAAAUUCGUAGAUAUUGGAAAGAACACCAGUGGCGAAGGCGGCUUACUGGCCGAUAUUGACGCUGAGGCGCGAAGGCGUGGGUAGCGAACGGGAUUAGAUA
Molecule: ribosomal RNA, 278 nt
Filed under: uncultured bacterium
Lineage: Bacteria
Description: partial 16S ribosomal RNA
Rfam family: Bacterial small subunit ribosomal RNA
Source: RNAcentral